UCCGAACCGUCCGGCUCACGGAGAAGCUAAAAAGCAGAUGGCAAAUUUUCAACCGUACCAGUUUAAUCCCGAGUCUGACACUGACAGGGAGCGGAAGAACAAGCCUGACGCUUUUCAACCGAGACUGGAGCAGGAUGGUUCAGAGUGCUAUGUCACAUUGUUACUUUGUACUUCUUCUAAAUGACUGAAGUGCAUGUUACUGUAGUCAUGGAAACGUGUGGACACUGCAGCAGAAACUCACAGUGGGAAAUGUCUGCCGCAAAGAAAUACGAACGGUUCUCAGAGGAAUGAAUCAGGUCCCCAUUCCUCUCAGCUGUAGGCCUUGAGCCGAAUUGCCUCAAAUUAUACACCCUGCAGAACAUCUACAACAUCUACAGAAUGGACUACGGUCCUCUGAGGUGCAGAACAGAAGAACAAGAAGCAGAGACAACAUACAAAAAAGCUGAUGAACACACAGCUGAUAAGGCUGGCAGCACUGGACACUGUGCUACUAAUAGACUCUGACCACUACAAGUUUGGAGGCAAGUGGUGCUGCUAAUGCUCAGUGAUUUGUGGACCAUAUGUCAUAAAGAUAGGCACUGGUGUAAUUGAACACUGACAUUACCUGCUGCAGAAUGGGUCAUCUAGCUAAGAAAACAGACACUCCUGGAUUCUUCACCUCCAAACCUCUGAGCAACAGAUAAGCCAGUCCCCUGCUGAAAAUGACGAGGAGCCGGAGGCCAUGGCUGCAGAAUGGACAGGGGAGUCCGAUGCUGAUAGAGGAGAUAAAGAGACAGUAUCCAGUGAGACAACAGCAGGCCAGCAGAAGAUCCCAGAGCGAUGACGACCAGAGUCGACUGUGGAGAGUCCCCUCGUCUCUAAGUUCAGGAGUUGGGCCUGGAGUUAUCUAGGAGGCCAAUCACCGUCCACGUCAUCGUCUCCGGCGAUCACUCGAGGAAUCACACUUCUGAC
Molecule: long non-coding RNA, 951 nt
Organism: Scophthalmus maximus (turbot)
Lineage: Eukaryota; Metazoa; Chordata; Actinopteri; Pleuronectiformes; Scophthalmidae
Exons: 8
Source: RefSeq, a predicted model, not a curated record